GCCAAAAACCUAGCCUAUUGAAACUUUAUGAACCUAUAACUAUUAUGUGUUAUAAACUAAAACAUUCUACUAUUUUAGUAAAGGAGAUUAAAAAAAUUGUAAGAGCUAUAGAUGUAGUACCGCAAGGGAAAGGUGAAAUAAAAAUGAAAUAAACCUAAAGCAUAAAAAAGUAGAGAUUUCAUCUCGUACCUUUUGCAUCAUGGUUUAACUAGUCUAACCAAGCAUAAAGCAUUAUAGUUUGACUUCCCGAAACUAAGCGAGCUACUUCAAGGCAGCUUUGUGAGCGAACCCGUCUCUGUUGCAAAAGAGUGGGAUGACCUUCAAGUAGGGGUGACAGACCUAACGAGCUUAGUGAUAGCUGGUUACUCAAAAAAAGGAUCUUAGUCCAACCUAACGUUUCUCUUAAAAUUUAAAUUUACCCUGAACUUUAGAGCAAUUCGAAUAAGGUACAGCCUAUUCGAAACAGGAUACAACCUUCACUGACGGGUAACUAAUUAAGCUAUUCAACUAAGUGGGCCUAAAAGCAGCCACCUUUAAAAAGCGUCAAAGCUUAAUUGAAAAAUUCAACUAAUCCCCUUAGCCUUUAUUAACCCUCUUUUAUUAUUGAGUAAUUCUAUACCCCUAUAGAACCUAUUAUGUUAAAACUAGUAACAAGAAGCCAAACCUUCUCUGAGCUGUAAAUGUAGACCAGAAAGGAUAACCCGCUGGUAAUUAACGCCCAUGAGCCUAUAUUAGCAACUCCCCAAGAAAACCCUAAUUCUCCAUACGUUAACCUAACACAAGAACACCCCCAGAAAGAUUUAAAGAAAAAGAAGGAACUCGGCAAACAUAAACUCCGCCUGUUUACCAAAAACAUCGCCUCUUGACUUAAAUAAGAGGUCCAGCCUGCCCAGUGACCCCAGUUCAACGGCCGCGGUAUCCUAACCGUGCGAAGGUAGCGUAAUCACUUGUUCUUUAAAUGAGGACUAGUAUGAAUGGCAUCACGAGAGUUUUACUGUCUCCUUUUUCUAAUCAGUGAAACUGUUCUCCCCGUGAAGAAACGGGGAUAAACAUAUAAGACGAGAAGACCCUAUGGAGCUUUAAACUUUAUUUCAACUGCUUUCUCCUCAUAACCAGCCCCGGCCUCUCUUAUGGAAUUAAGCAUCAUGAUAAUAAAUUUUAGGUUGGGGUGACCACGGAGCAUAAAAAAACCCCCGUAUUGAAUAAAAGGCCUCAAGCCCUGAACUAAGAGUUACAACUCCAAGUACUAAUAAUUUAACAUCCAUUGACCCAAUAUUUUUGAUCAACGAACCAAGUUACCCUAGGGAUAACAGCGCAAUCUACUUUAAGAGCCCCUAUCGACAAGUAGGUUUACGACCUCGAUGUUGGAUCAGGGUAUCCCAGUGGUGCAGCCGCUACUAAAGGUUCGUUUGUUCAACGAUUAAAACCCU
Molecule: ribosomal RNA, 1430 nt
Filed under: Ololygon carnevallii
Lineage: Eukaryota; Metazoa; Chordata; Amphibia; Anura; Hylidae
Description: partial 16S large subunit ribosomal RNA
Rfam family: Bacterial large subunit ribosomal RNA
Source: RNAcentral